Molecule: ribosomal RNA, 1482 nt
Filed under: Enterococcus faecium
Lineage: Bacteria; Bacillati; Bacillota; Bacilli; Lactobacillales; Enterococcaceae
Description: bacterial SSU rRNA
Rfam family: Bacterial small subunit ribosomal RNA
Source: RNAcentral
GACGAACGCUGGCGGCGUGCCUAAUACAUGCAAGUCGUACGCUUCUUUUUCCACCGGAGCUUGCUCCACCGGAAAAAGAAGAGUGGCGAACGGGUGAGUAACACGUGGGUAACCUGCCCAUCAGAAGGGGAUAACACUUGGAAACAGGUGCUAAUACCGUAUAACAAUCGAAACCGCAUGGUUUUGAUUUGAAAGGCGCUUUCGGGUGUCGCUGAUGGAUGGACCCGCGGUGCAUUAGCUAGUUGGUGAGGUAACGGCUCACCAAGGCCACGAUGCAUAGCCGACCUGAGAGGGUGAUCGGCCACAUUGGGACUGAGACACGGCCCAAACUCCUACGGGAGGCAGCAGUAGGGAAUCUUCGGCAAUGGACGAAAGUCUGACCGAGCAACGCCGCGUGAGUGAAGAAGGUUUUCGGAUCGUAAAACUCUGUUGUUAGAGAAGAACAAGGAUGAGAGUAACUGUUCAUCCCUUGACGGUAUCUAACCAGAAAGCCACGGCUAACUACGUGCCAGCAGCCGCGGUAAUACGUAGGUGGCAAGCGUUGUCCGGAUUUAUUGGGCGUAAAGCGAGCGCAGGCGGUUUCUUAAGUCUGAUGUGAAAGCCCCCGGCUCAACCGGGGAGGGUCAUUGGAAACUGGGAGACUUGAGUGCAGAAGAGGAGAGUGGAAUUCCAUGUGUAGCGGUGAAAUGCGUAGAUAUAUGGAGGAACACCAGUGGCGAAGGCGGCUCUCUGGUCUGCAACUGACGCUGAGGCUCGAAAGCGUGGGGAGCAAACAGGAUUAGAUACCCUGGUAGUCACGCCGUAAACGAUGAGUGCUAAGUGUUGGAGGGUUUCCGCCCUUCAGUGCUGCAGCUAACGCAUUAAGCACUCCGCCUGGGGAGUACGACCGCAAGGUUGAAACUCAAAGGAAUUGACGGGGGCCCGCACAAGCGGUGGAGCAUGUGGUUUAAUUCGAAGCAACGCGAAGAACCUUACCAGGUCUUGACAUCCUUUGACCACUCUAGAGAUAGAGCUUCCCCUUCGGGGGCAAAGUGACAGGUGGUGCAUGGUUGUCGUCAGCUCGUGUCGUGAGAUGUUGGGUUAAGUCCCGCAACGAGCGCAACCCUUAUUGUUAGUUGCCAUCAUUCAGUUGGGCACUCUAGCAAGACUGCCGGUGACAAACCGGAGGAAGGUGGGGAUGACGUCAAAUCAUCAUGCCCCUUAUGACCUGGGCUACACACGUGCUACAAUGGGAAGUACAACGGGUUGCGAAGUCGCGAGGCUAAGCUAAUCUCUUAAAGCUUCUCUCAGUUCGGAUUGCAGGCUGCAACUCGCCUGCAUGAAGCCGGAAUCGCUAGUAAUCGCGGAUCAGCACGCCGCGGUGAAUACGUUCCCGGGCCUUGUACACACCGCCCGUCACACCACGAGAGUUUGUAACACCCGAAGUCGGUGAGGUAACCUUUUUGGAGCCAGCCGCCUAAGGUGGGAUAGAUGAUUGGGGUG